This 543-nucleotide ribosomal RNA is filed under the name Salmonella enterica subsp. enterica serovar Montevideo str. IA_2010008283. Its description in RNAcentral is "bacterial LSU rRNA". It matches the Rfam family "Bacterial large subunit ribosomal RNA", at positions 1 to 584 of the family's 2925-position model. The record is from RNAcentral. Lineage: Bacteria; Pseudomonadati; Pseudomonadota; Gammaproteobacteria; Enterobacterales; Enterobacteriaceae.
GGUUAAGCGACUAAGCGUACACGGUGGAUGCCCUGGCAGUCAGAGGCGAUGAAGGGCGUGCUAAUCUGCGAUAAGCGCCGGUAAGGUGAUAUGAACCGUUAUAACCGGCGAUACCGAAUGGGGAAACCCAGUGUGACUCGUCACACUAUCAUUAACUGAAUCCAUAGGUUAAUGAGGCGAACCGGGGGAACUGAAACAUCUAAGUACCCCGAGGAAAAGAAAUCAACCGAGAUUCCCCCAGUAGCGGCGAGCGAACGGGGAGGAGCCCAGAGCCUGAAUCAGCAUGUGUGUUAGUGGAAGCGUCUGGAAAGGCGCGCGAUACAGGGUGACAGCCCCGUACACAAAAGCGCAUGUGCUGUGAGCUCGAUGAGUAGGGCGGGACACGUGGUAUCCUGUCUGAAUAUGGGGGGACCAUCCUCCAAGGCUAAAUACUCCUGACUGACCGAUAGUGAACCAGUACCGUGAGGGAAAGGCGAAAAGAACCCCGGCGAGGGGAGUGAAAAAGAACCUGAAACCGUGUACGUACAAGCAGUGGGAGCACCC